Long non-coding RNA from Corvus hawaiiensis (hawaiian crow), 363 nucleotides. RefSeq lists it as uncharacterized. The transcript has 3 exons. The record is from RefSeq and is a predicted model, not a curated record. NCBI's taxonomy places the organism in Eukaryota, Metazoa, Chordata, Aves, Passeriformes, Corvidae.
CUCGCGGUGCCGGCGGGGCGCUCGCUCUGCCUCCGCCGCCUGGUGCAGGACGGGCUCCGCAGCGCGGCCCCCGCCCUCUGGGCAUGGAAGGAAGGCAGCGAGAGGCUCCGCCGGGCCUCAGAAGCACGGACCCCUGCCUGGCGAAUUUACACCAAUUGACAUCAGACAUUUGCUUUUACUUCUAAUCUGUGGAGUGCCAUAAGCAGCCCUCACCCCUCCAGGAUUUCCCAGACCGUGGGACAGAGCAGCUGAGAGCCAGACCAGAAGGAUCAAGCAAAUUGCUUUCUCUGCAACUGGGCUUUUUGCAAGUUAGAGUUCAAGGUGUGCAGAGGAAACCUUGCUGAGCAAGAUGUAUUAACUACA